This 396-nucleotide ribosomal RNA is filed under the name uncultured bacterium. RNAcentral describes it as "bacterial SSU rRNA". It matches the Rfam family "Bacterial small subunit ribosomal RNA", at positions 29 to 409 of the family's 1533-position model. The record is from RNAcentral.
AACGAACGCUGGCGGCAUGCCUAACACAUGCAAGUCGUGCGAGAAAGUUCCUUCGGGAGCGAGUAAAGCGGCGCACGGGUGAGUAACACGUAGGUAACCUGCCCCCCAGUCUGGAACAACUAGAGGAAACUCUAGCUAAUGCCGGAUGAGACCACGAUCCCUUCGGGGGUUGCGGCCAAAGAUGGCCUCUACUUGUAAGCUAUCGCUGAGGGAUGGGCCUGCGGGCCAUUAGCUUGUUGGUGAGGUAACGGCUCACCAAGGCUGUGAUGGCUAGCUGGUCUGAGAGGAUGACCAGCCACACUGGGACUGAGACACGGCCCAGACUCCUACGGGAGGCAGCAGUGGGAAUAUUGCGCAAUGGGCGAAAGCCUGACGCAGCGACGCCGCGUGGGUGAU